This 167-nucleotide microRNA precursor is filed under the name Pelobates cultripes (western spadefoot toad). The record is from RNAcentral. Lineage: Eukaryota; Metazoa; Chordata; Amphibia; Anura; Pelobatidae.
GCAGACACAUUCCAGCCAAUCAGCAGCAGACCCUCCCUCCCAGCCCUCCCACCUCCUGGACAGCAUCCAUUUUACAUUCAUUGUGAAGCUGCAUUCUUGGUGAACUGUCCAGGAGGUGGGAGGGUCUGGGAGGGAGGGUCUGCUGCUCAUUGGCUGGAAUAUGUCUG